GAGUUUGAUCCUGGCUCAGAGUGAACGCUGGCGGCGUGCCUAACACAUGCAAGUCGAACGUGAAAAGGGGCAACCCUGAGUAAAGUGGCGUACGGGUGAGUAACGCGUAGGUAAUCUACCCCAGAAUCUGGAAUAACCUGCCGAAAGGCGGGCUAAUACUGGAUAGAGCGACGGAAUCCGUAAUUGGGUUUUUCGGGAAAGGGAGGGAGCAAUCCCCUUCGUUUUGGGAUGAGCCUGCGUCUCAUUAGCUAGUUGGUGGGGUAAUGGCCCACCAAGGCAUUGAUGGGUAGCUGGUCUGAGAGGAUGAUCAGCCACACUGGAACUGAAACACGGUCCAGACUCCUACGGGAGGCAGCAGUGGGGAAUCUUGCGCAAUGGACGAAAGCCUGACGCAGCCACGCCGCGUGAGUGAAGAAGGCCUCGGUU
RNAcentral lists this ribosomal RNA (426 nucleotides) under uncultured delta proteobacterium. RNAcentral's name for it is "bacterial SSU rRNA". It matches the Rfam family "Bacterial small subunit ribosomal RNA", at positions 9 to 424 of the family's 1533-position model. Lineage: Bacteria; Deltaproteobacteria. The record is from RNAcentral.